CAGCAGCCACGGUAAUACAGAGGGUGCGAGCGUUAAUCGGAUUUACUGGGCGUAAAGCGUGCGUAGGCGGCUUCUUAAGUCGGAUGUGAAAUCCCUGAGCUUAACUUAGGAAUUGCAUUCGAUACUGGGAAGCUAGAGUAUGGGAGAGGAUGGUAGAAUUCCAGGUGUAGCGGUGAAAUGCGUAGAGAUCUGGAGGAAUACCGAUGGCGAAGGCAGCCAUCUGGCCUAAUACUGACGCUGAGGUACGAAAGCAUGGGGAGCAAACAGGAUUAGAUACCCGGGUAGUCCCUGUCUCUUAUAC
RNAcentral lists this ribosomal RNA (301 nucleotides) under uncultured bacterium. RNAcentral's name for it is "partial 16S ribosomal RNA". It matches the Rfam family "Bacterial small subunit ribosomal RNA", at positions 509 to 807 of the family's 1533-position model. The record is from RNAcentral.